RNAcentral lists this ribosomal RNA (386 nucleotides) under uncultured bacterium. Its description in RNAcentral is "bacterial SSU rRNA". It matches the Rfam family "Bacterial small subunit ribosomal RNA", at positions 29 to 417 of the family's 1533-position model. The record is from RNAcentral.
AUUGAACGCUGGCGGCAUGCUUUACACAUGCAAGUCGAACGGCAGCGCGGGGGCAACCCUGGCGGCGAGUGGCGAACGGGUGAGUAAUGCAUCGGAACGAAUCCUGUAAUGGGGGAUAACGUAGCGAAAGUUACGCUAAUACCGCAUACGCUCGAGAGAGGAAAGUGGGGAUCGCAAGACCUCACGUUAUAGGAGCGGCCGAUGUCCGAUUAGCUAGUUGGUGGGGUAAAGGCCUACCAAGGCGACGAUCGGUAGCUGGUCUGAGAGGAUGAUCAGCCACACUGGGACUGAGACACGGCCCAGACUCCUACGGGAGGCAGCAGUGGGAAUUUUGGACAAGUGGGCGAAAGCCCUGAUCCAGCCAUGCCGCGUGCGGAAGAGGCCUU